GGAGAGAUGUCUGAGCGGUUGAAAGAGCACGAUUGGAAAUAGUGUAUGUCAUAAAAUGCGCAUCGAGCGUUCGAAUCCCUCUCUCUCCGCCA
This 92-nucleotide transfer RNA is filed under the name Candidatus Babelota bacterium. Its description in RNAcentral is "Candidatus Dependentiae bacterium tRNA-Ser". It matches the Rfam family "tRNA". Rfam says of the family: Transfer RNA (tRNA) molecules are approximately 80 nucleotides in length. Their secondary structure includes four short double-helical elements and three loops (D, anti-codon, and T loops). RNAcentral also lists the same sequence under 1 other name. The record is from RNAcentral.